AUGAGAACUUAUGCUUCCAAUUUCUUUCUAUCGGUGAGCCUCAAAGGAGCUACCAGAUCCUUUUGCAUACAAGAAAAGGCAGGAGGAAAUCUGAAGCGACGAGGUGAAGUGGGAGGAGACCGUCUAAUUGGGAUUCAAACCGAGGAGGCGAGUCCACUCCGGGAAGCAGGGCGAGCAGGCGCGCCUCUUCAGCACCACAAGGGUGGACAGCUCCGCUUGAGUUUCUUCCUCUCUUCAGUCGAUGCUCUUGGAAUCUCCCCGAAAAGGGGAUCAGAAGGAAACAGAAGAACAAAGCUGACAUAAGCAC
RNAcentral lists this long non-coding RNA (307 nucleotides) under Anolis carolinensis (green anole). RNAcentral's name for it is "lncRNA (ENSACAG00000037837.1)". Lineage: Eukaryota; Metazoa; Chordata; Lepidosauria; Squamata; Anolidae. The record is from RNAcentral.